CAAUAGCGUAUAUUAACGUUGUUGCAGUUAAAAAGCUCGUAGUUGGAUUUCUGGAGGGAGCGUCGGCCCGUAUUUACGAGUGCGUGACGUCUCUGUCCAUCCUUGCGGGAAGGCACGGCAUUGAUUUGUUGUGUCGGAUCGCAUCAUUUACUGUGAAAAAAUUAGAGUGUUCAAAGCAGGCUUUCGCUUGAAUACAUUAGCAUGGAAUAAUAAGAUAGGACUUUGGUGCUAUUUUGUUGGUUGAGCCUAAAGUAAUGAUUAAUAGGGAUAGUUGGGGGCACCUGUAUUGCGUUGUCAGAGGUGAAAUUCUUGGAUUUACGCAAGACAAACAGCUGCGAAAGCGUCUGCCAAGGAUGUUUUCAUUAAU
Molecule: ribosomal RNA, 367 nt
Filed under: uncultured eukaryote
Lineage: Eukaryota
Description: partial 18S ribosomal RNA
Rfam family: Eukaryotic small subunit ribosomal RNA
Source: RNAcentral